Molecule: ribosomal RNA, 426 nt
Filed under: uncultured bacterium
Lineage: Bacteria
Description: bacterial SSU rRNA
Rfam family: Bacterial small subunit ribosomal RNA
Source: RNAcentral
GUUAACGUUGGCAGUGCGCCUAACACAUGCAAGUCGAGCGAUAUUAGCGGCAGACGAGAGAGUAAUAGUAAGGAACUUACCCCCGAGUGAAGGAUAGCCAGCCGAAAGGUUGGGUAAUCCUGCAUAAUAUCGAAAGAUCAAAGCCUUCGGGCGCUUGGGGAGAGGCCUUACUCCUAUCAGCUUGUUGGUGAGGUAAUGGCUCACCAAGGCGAUGACGGGUAGCUGGUCUGAGAGGAUGAUCAGCCUCGAUGGGACUGAGACACGGCCCAUACUCCUACGGGAGGCAGCAGUUGGGGAUUUUGCACAAUGGAGGAAACUCUGAUGCAGCGACACUGCGUGAAGGAUGAAGGUUCUAGGAUCGUAAACUUCUUUUAUCAGGGAGUAAUCUUGAAAGUACCUGAUGAAUAAGGACCGGCUAACUACGUG